CUCAGGAUGAACGCUGGCGGCGUGCUAACACAUGCAAGUCGAACGAGGGUUACCGGUUGAAAUUUCGAAUGGAAACGGGUAAUACCUAGUGGCGGACGGGUGAGUAACGCGUGGGAACCUGCCCCAUUCCGGGGAUACCAGUUGGAAACGACUGUUAAUACCGCAUAAGCGCACAGUACUGCAUGGUACGGUGUGAAAAAACCACGGUGGAAUGGGAUGGACCCGCGUCUGAUUAGCCAGUUGGCAGGGUAACGGCCUACCAAAGCGACGAUCAGCAGCCGGCCUGAGAGGGCGACCGGCCACAUUGGGACUGAGACACGGCCCAAACUCCUACGGGAGGCAGCAGUGGGGAAUAUUGCACAAUGGGGGGAACCCUGAUGCAAGCGACGCCGCGUGAGUGAAGAAGUAUUUCGGUAUGUAAAGCUCUAUCAGCAGGGAAGAAGAUGACGGUACCUGCACAAGAAGCCCCGGCUAACUACGUGCCAGCCGCGGC
Molecule: ribosomal RNA, 493 nt
Filed under: uncultured bacterium
Lineage: Bacteria
Description: bacterial SSU rRNA
Rfam family: Bacterial small subunit ribosomal RNA
Source: RNAcentral